UCUAUACAUGACUCUGCGCAUAUCAAUAAGCGGAGGAAAAGUACUACCUACGCUUAGGAUGUUGACGAGACUGUCGAUCUCAUCUAUACAUGACUCUGUGCAUAUCAAUAAGCGGAGGAAAAGGCAUACCUACGCUUAGGAUGUUGACGAGACUGUCGAUCUCAUCUAUACAUGACUCUGCGCAUAUCAAUAAGCGGAGGAAAAGAAACUAACAAGGAUUCCCUUAGUAACGGCGAGUGAAGCGGGAAGAGCUCAAAUUUGAAAUCUUCAAGGUUCUACCUUGACGAAUUGUAGUUUAUAGAAGUGUUUUCUGUUAGUGGAGUGGCAAAAGUUCUUUGGAAUAGGACAUCAUAGAGGGUGAGAAUCCCGUAUUUGGUCAUUCCUCCUAGCGUUGUGAUACACUUUCAAAGAGUCGGAUUGUUUGGGAAUGCAGUCCAAAAUGGGUGGUAAAUUUCAUCUAAAGCUAAAUAUUGGCGAGAGACCGAUAGCGAACAAGUACCGUGAGGGAAAGAUGAAAAGAACUUUGAAAAGAGAGUUAAACAGUACGUGAAAUUGUCAAAAGGGAAGCGUUUGACACCAGUGUUGUUUAGUUGAAAAUCAAUUAAAUAUUUUUCGAUUUUAAGUAGUAUUGACCUUAUCAGCUUGCUGCUUUUUUCUCGGAAAUUAUUUAAUGCACUUUUCAGUUAACAAGUCAACAUCAAUUUCUUUUGUUGUAAAAGGGUACGAGGAAGGUGGCUUUCUUUUCGGAGAAAGUGUUUAUAGCCUUGUGCCUCUGCAAUCGGAGAGAUUGAGGUCUGCAGCGUAGAUCCUUCGGGGUUAGAUACAUUUGUGCUAAGUUAUAGCUUUUCAUAGACAACUUGUUGACUAUGUUUAGUCUUGUAGCUUACUCGCUUAUGCUAUUUUACCUACGCUUAGGAUGUUGACGAGACUGUCGAUCUC
RNAcentral lists this ribosomal RNA (939 nucleotides) under uncultured Neocallimastigales. RNAcentral describes it as "partial large subunit ribosomal RNA". The stretch from base 157 to 939 matches the Rfam family "Eukaryotic large subunit ribosomal RNA", at positions 1 to 646 of the family's 3401-position model. The record is from RNAcentral. Lineage: Eukaryota; Fungi; Neocallimastigomycota; Neocallimastigomycetes; Neocallimastigales.